CAGCAGCCACGGUAAUACGGAGGGGGCUAGCGUUGUUCGGAAUUACUGGACGUAAAGCGCACGUAGGCGGCUUGGUAAGUUAGAGGUGAAAGCCUGGAGCUCAACUCCAGAAUUGCCUUUAAGACUGCCGAGCUAGCAGGUGAGAGAGGUAAGUGGAAUUCCGAGUGUAGAGGUGAAAUUCGUAGAUAUUCGGAAGAACACCAGUGGCGAAGGCGGCUUACUGGCUCAUACUGGACGCUGAGGUGCGAAAGCGUGGGGAGCAAACGGGAUUAGAUACCCGGGUAGUCCCUGUCUCUUAUAC
Molecule: ribosomal RNA, 301 nt
Filed under: uncultured bacterium
Lineage: Bacteria
Description: partial 16S ribosomal RNA
Rfam family: Bacterial small subunit ribosomal RNA
Source: RNAcentral